CACACCGCCCGUCACACCAUGGGAGUUGGUUUCACCCGAAGGUGGUGCGCUAACCCGCAAGGGAGGCAGCCAACCACGGUGAGAUUCAUGACUGGGGUG
RNAcentral lists this ribosomal RNA (99 nucleotides) under uncultured bacterium. RNAcentral describes it as "partial 16S ribosomal RNA". It matches the Rfam family "Bacterial small subunit ribosomal RNA", at positions 1386 to 1482 of the family's 1533-position model. The record is from RNAcentral.